Molecule: long non-coding RNA, 477 nt
Organism: Oreochromis aureus
Lineage: Eukaryota; Metazoa; Chordata; Actinopteri; Cichliformes; Cichlidae
Exons: 3
Source: RefSeq, a predicted model, not a curated record
AUGACACAUGAGGUGCUAAAGCCUAAAAUUUCUCAGAGGGGGUCUUAAAGACUCUGUGUUGGACAUCUUGGCAACAAUAGUGAUGCACUGAUGGGAAAAUGCAUCUUGGUUUUGGCUGGCCUCCUACAAAACCGCAGGGUAAAAAUGUCCAACAGUAACCCUUCACACGCUCCAUUUCUCACACCAUCUCUCCUGGAUAACUUUUUAAGGAUGACCACGAUACAGCUGAAAACUGAACACAGUGGUUUCCCAGGCAUCUGGAAGCAAGCUGGGGAGAGGGACCUCUGGGCAUCUCCACAUAGAGACGCGCCCUGGACCUCUGACAAAAAGAAGAUCAUAUUAAAAAUGUUGUCGUGAGUCAUUAAAAACAAAAUCAUCAGCUUUAGUUGUUUGAUUUGCAGGACAUAAACAAUCCUAGUUACAGUUAACCUUUAAUGCAUUAAAUUCUAACUGUCUACACCGCUCCUGCGCUCAUCU